This 457-nucleotide ribosomal RNA is filed under the name uncultured bacterium. RNAcentral describes it as "partial 16S ribosomal RNA". It matches the Rfam family "Bacterial small subunit ribosomal RNA", at positions 338 to 795 of the family's 1533-position model. The record is from RNAcentral.
CCUACGGGUGGCUGCAGUGGGGAAUAUUGCACAAUGGGGGAAACCCUGAUGCAGCGAAGCCGCGUGAGUGAAGAAGUACUUCGGUACGUAAAGGUCUAUCAGCAGGGAAGAAAAAAAGUCAUUUGGACUUUGGACGGUACCUGACUAAGAAGACCAGGCUAACUACGUGCCAGCAGCCGCGGUAAUACGUAGGGGGCAAGCGUUAUGCGGAUUUACUGGGUGUAAAGUGAGCGUAGACGGUUAUGUAAGUCUGGAGUGAAAGCCCGGGGCCCAACCCCGGGACUGCUUUGGAAACUGUGUAACUGGAGUACAGGAGGGGCGGGCAGAAUUCCUGGUGUAGCGGUGAAAUGCGUAGAUAUCAGGAGGAACACCGGCGGCGAAGGCGGCCUGCUGGACUGAAACUGACGUUGAGGCUCGAAAGCGUGGGGAGCAAACAGGAUUAGAUACCCGAGUAGUC